AUUAAACCCACUAUAUACGAACUUUGCUUCUACUUUCCUGAAACCUUCUAUUCUCUCCUGAUCUGUGAGCCCCCUCUCCCCCUCCCUCACCCCAGCUAUUGUCAUCGUGCGUUCGGCGAUGACGAGCGCGGUCGUUAGCAGAACUCUGGGUCGUGCAGUGAAUCAGCAGCCUUCAGAAAGACACAGUCCUCACGUCACAAAUGCCGAAUAAUAGAGCUCGUGAGAUCCUUUUAGACAGGAAGACAGCAGCGUGAACACGAUGAGGUAAACUCUGAAUGCAGAAAAUCCAGCUGAUGCUAUUUAAUGGACAACAGCUAUGGUCCCAAUCAGAAGAAAAAUAUUAUUGGAAAUCCAGCAGGUCAUACAAAUGUAAUUUUCCUCGACCUAUCUCACUUGAGAGAAACCUGAUGUCCUGUUACAGCUGCCAAGUUAGACUUGAGUGUCAGGAAACAUGUACAGGAGGCGGAUGCAGCAGCGGACCUUGUUUAAUGAAGGUGAAGCACACAUAAUACUGAGUACACUAAACCGGACUAGGACAGCAGAGCAAGGCAUAAACGUAAACACAAAUCAAGUGCUAUGAUUGCGACCACGGCAGACAAGCACUAAACACUGAGUGCUGUACUAGACUUGACCCAAAUACUAGUGCUGAUUAACGUGAAGGUGAAUUAUGUGCAAAGCAGUCAUGUGAUAUGAGUGUCGUGAGCAUGUGCUGUGCAGUGGCUGAUGGGAGAUGUAGUCCUUUGAGGAUUCAGCAUAACCGUGACACCACGUUGGACUAUCCAAAUCCAUUGUACGUUGGAUUUAUACACUAUUACACAUGAGCUUGAUUCUCUGAACCUGAAGCUACAGUAUUUUAUGCAUUGUAUAGCUGAUCAAGUGUACAGGUGAACUUAGAAAUGGAUAUAAAAAAACAACGCUACUAUUUUUAAUGCACAUUGCUAAGAAAUGUGUGGUGACAGAUCAGAACCCUGUAACGGGUGUGACCUCAGAGGUAAUUUUAGCUAUAUUAUUUUAUAUUCAUUCUGUUUUAGAAGACUUUAUACACCCAGUAUGACACAUCAGCUCUGAUGUGAGUCUGUAUCCAGACCUGAUUUCUUCACUGGCACUUUAACUUCACCUAAUUUCCCUCCUCCACCUCCAAAGCCCUGCUGCAUUUACAAUGCAAACUACAGAACUCUGUCACUGUGGCACGCUAAAUCUCAUACAU
This is a long non-coding RNA of Tachysurus vachellii, 1207 nucleotides long. RefSeq lists it as uncharacterized. Lineage: Eukaryota; Metazoa; Chordata; Actinopteri; Siluriformes; Bagridae. The transcript has 3 exons. The record is from RefSeq and is a predicted model, not a curated record.